AACGAACGCUGGCGGCAGGCUUAACACAUGCAAGUCGAACGCGUCCUUCGGGACGAGUGGCAGACGGGUGAGUAACGCGUGGGAACGUACCCUUUGGUUCGGAACAACGCCGGGAAACUGGCGCUAAUACCGGAUAAGCCCUUCGGGGGAAAGAUUUAUCGCCAGAGGAUCGGCCCGCGUUAGAUUAGCUAGUUGGUGAGGUAAUGGCUCACCAAGGCUACGAUCUAUAGCUGGUCUGAGAGGAUGAUCAGCCACACUGGGACUGAGACACGGCCCAGACUCUUACGGGAGGCAGCAGUGGGGAAUCUUGGACAAUGGGCGAAAGCCUGAUCCAGCCAUGCCGCGUGAAUGAUGAAGGCCCUAGGGUUGUAAAAUUCUUUCGACGGGGAAGAUAAUGACGGUACCCGUAGAAGAAGCUCCGGCUAACUUCGUG
This 433-nucleotide ribosomal RNA is filed under the name uncultured bacterium. RNAcentral describes it as "bacterial SSU rRNA". It matches the Rfam family "Bacterial small subunit ribosomal RNA", at positions 29 to 507 of the family's 1533-position model. The record is from RNAcentral.